GGGAUUGCCCUAGUAACGGCGAGUGAAGCGGCAACAGCUCAAAUUUGAAAUCUGGCUCUUUCAGAGUCCGAGUUGUAAUUUGCAGAGGGCGCUUUGGCUUUGGCAGCGGUCCAAGUUCCUUGGAACAGGACGUCACAGAGGGUGAGAAUCCCGUACGUGGUCGCUAGCUAUUGCCGUGUAAAGCCCCUUCGACGAGUCGAGUUGUUUGGGAAUGCAGCUCUAAAUGGGAGGUAAAUUUCUUCUAAAGCUAAAUAUUGGCCAGAGACCGAUAGCGCACAAGUAGAGUGAUCGAAAGAUGAAAAGCACUUUGGAAAGAGAGUCAAACAGCACGUGAAAUUGUUGAAAGGGAAGCGCUUGCAGCCAGACUUGCUUGCAGUUGCUCAUCUGGGCUUUUGCCCGGUGCACUCUUCUGUAGGCAGGCCAGCAUCAGUUUGGGCGGUGGGAUAAAGGUCUCUGUCAUGUACCUCUCUUCGGGGAGGCCUUAUAGGGGAGGCGACAUACCACCAGCCUGGACUGAGGUCCGCGCAUCUGCUAGGAUGCUGGCGUAAUGGCUGUAAGCGGCCCGUCUUGAAACACGGACCAAGGAGUCUAACAUCUAUGCGAGUGUUUGGGUGUCAAGCCCGAGCGCGUAAUGAAAGUGAACGGAGGUGGGAACCCGCAAGGGCGCACCAUCGACCGAUCCUGAAGUUUACGGAAGGAUUUGAGUAAGAGCAUGGCUGUUGGGACCCGAAAGAUGGUGAACUAUGCUUGAAUAGGGUGAAGCCAGAGGAAACUCUGGUGGAGGCUCGCAGCGGUUCUGACGUGCAAAUCGAUCGUCAAAUUUGGGCAUAGGGGCGAAAGACUAAUC
Molecule: ribosomal RNA, 847 nt
Filed under: Johnalcornia aberrans
Lineage: Eukaryota; Fungi; Ascomycota; Dothideomycetes; Pleosporales; Pleosporaceae
Description: eukaryotic LSU rRNA
Rfam family: Eukaryotic large subunit ribosomal RNA
Source: RNAcentral